AUACGUAGGGGGCGAGCGUUGUCCGGAAUGAUUGGGCGUAAAGGGCGCGUAGGCGGCGCGGUAAGUCUGGAGUGAAAGUCCUGCUUUCAAGAUGGGAAUUGCUUUGGAUACUGUCGGGCUUGAGUGCAGGAGAGGUAAGUGGAAUUCCCAGUGUAGCGGUGAAAUGCGUAGAGAUUGGGAGGAACACCAGUGGCGAAGGCGACUUACUGGACUGUAACUGACGCUGAGGCGCGAAAGUGUGGGGAGCAAACAGGAUUAGAUACCCUGGUAGUCCACACUGUAAACGAUGAAUGCUAGGUGUAGGGGGUAUCGACCCCUUCUGUGCCGCAGUCAACACAAUAAGCAUUCCGCCUGGGGAGUACGGCCGCAAGGUUGAAACUCAAAUGAAUUGACGGGG
RNAcentral lists this ribosomal RNA (397 nucleotides) under uncultured bacterium. RNAcentral describes it as "partial 16S ribosomal RNA". It matches the Rfam family "Bacterial small subunit ribosomal RNA", at positions 523 to 918 of the family's 1533-position model. The record is from RNAcentral.